UGAGGAAUAUUGGUCAAUGGGCGAGAGCCUGAACCAGCCAUGUCGCGUGAAGGAAGAAUGUCCUAUGGAUUGUAAACUUCUUUUAUACAGGAAUAAAGUGUACUACGUGUAGUAUUUUGUAUGUACUGUAUGAAUAAGGAUCGGCUAACUCCGUGCCAGCAGCCGCGGUAAUACGGAGGAUCCGAGCGUUAUCCGGAUUUAUUGGGUUUAAAGGGUGCGUAGGCGGAAUAGCAAGUCAGUGGUGAAAGUUUGCAGCUUAACUGUAAAAUUGCCAUUGAAACUGCUGUUCUUGAGUACAGUAGAGGUAGGCGGAAUGUGUAGUGUAGCGGUGAAAUGCAUAGAUAUUACACAGAACACCGAUUGCGAAGGCAGCUUGCUGGGCCAAUACUGACGCUGAUGCACGAAAGCGUGGGGAUCGAACA
RNAcentral lists this ribosomal RNA (422 nucleotides) under uncultured prokaryote. RNAcentral describes it as "bacterial SSU rRNA". It matches the Rfam family "Bacterial small subunit ribosomal RNA", at positions 355 to 774 of the family's 1533-position model. The record is from RNAcentral.